UACGUAGGGGCAAGCGUUGUCCGGAAUGACUGGGCGUAAAGGGCGCGUAGGCGGCUCUGUAAGUCCGGAGCGAAAGUCCAGAUUUUAAGGUUGGAAUUGCUUUGGAAACUGUGGGGCUUGAGUGCGGAAGAGGUAAGUGGAAUUCCCAGUGUAGCGGUGAAAUGCGUAGAGAUUGGGAGGAACACCAGUGGCGAAGGCGACUUACUGGGCCGUAACUGACGCUGAGGCGCGAAAGCGUGGGGAGCGAACAGGAUUAGAUACCCUGGUAGUCCCUGAGCGGG
This 281-nucleotide ribosomal RNA is filed under the name uncultured prokaryote. RNAcentral's name for it is "partial 16S ribosomal RNA". It matches the Rfam family "Bacterial small subunit ribosomal RNA", at positions 524 to 803 of the family's 1533-position model. The record is from RNAcentral.